AUUGAACGCUGGCGGCAGGCCUAACACAUGCAAGUCGAACGAGUGGCGGACGGGUGAGUAAUGUCUGGGAAACUGCCUGAUGGAGGGGGAUCACUACUGGAAACGGUAGCUAAUACCGCAUACCAUCGGAUGUGCCCAGAUGGGAUUAGCUUGUAGGUGGGGUAAAGGCUCCCCUAGGCGACGAUCCCUAGCUAGUCUGAGAGGAUGACCAGCCACACUGGAACUGAGACACGGUCCAGACUCCUACGGGAGGCAGCAGUGGGGAAUAUUGCACAAUGGGCGCAAGCCUGAUGCAGCCAUGCCGCGUGUAUGAAGAAGGCCUUCGGGUUGUAAAGUACUUUCAGCGGGGAGGCGUUACCCGCAGAAGAAGCACCGGCUAACUCCGUGCCAGCAGCCGCGGUAAUAC
This 406-nucleotide ribosomal RNA is filed under the name uncultured bacterium. Its description in RNAcentral is "partial 16S ribosomal RNA". It matches the Rfam family "Bacterial small subunit ribosomal RNA", at positions 30 to 526 of the family's 1533-position model. The record is from RNAcentral.